Long non-coding RNA from Oncorhynchus keta (chum salmon), 1027 nucleotides. RefSeq lists it as uncharacterized. The record is from RefSeq and is a predicted model, not a curated record. The transcript has 3 exons. NCBI's taxonomy places the organism in Eukaryota, Metazoa, Chordata, Actinopteri, Salmoniformes, Salmonidae.
UUUUACAGGGUCAGUCAUAGUAGUAUGAUAGGUGUUGUUUUACAGGGUCAGUCAUAGUAGUAUGAUAGGUGUUGUUUUACAGGGUCAGUCAUAGUAGUAUGAUAGGUGUUGUUUUACAGGGUCAGUCAUAGUAGUAUGAUAGGUGUUGUUUUACAGGGUCAGUCAUAGUAGUAUGAUAGGUGUUGUUGUACAGGGUCAUAGUAGUAUGAUAGGUGUUGUUGUACAGGGUCAGUCAUAGUAGUAUGAUAGGUGUUGUUUUACAGGGUCAGUCAUAGUAGUAUGAUAGGUGUUGUUUUACAGGGUCAGUCAUAGUAGUAUGAUAGGUGUUGUUGUACAGGGUCAUAGUAGUAUGAUAGGUGUUGUUGUACAGGGUCAUAGUAGUAUGAUAGGUGUUGUUGUACAGGGUCAGUCAUAGUAGUAUGAUAGGUGUUGUUGUACAGGGUCAGUCAUAGUAGUAUGAUAGGUGUUGUUGUACAGGGUCAGUCAUAGUAGUAUGAUAGGUGUUGUUGUACAGGGUCAGUCAUAGUAGUAUGAUAGGUGUUGUUUUACAGGGUCAAACAUAGAGCGAAUCAGGGUUAAGUGCCUUGCUUGAGGCCACAUGGACAGAUUUUUCACCUUGUCGGCUGAACAUUCACCUCAGUCAAUAAGAGACAUUCACAUUCACCUCAGUCAAUAAGAGACUGAACAUUCACCUCAGUCAAUAAGAGACUGAACAUUCACCUCAGUCAAUAAGAGACUGAACAUUCGCCUCAGUCAAUAAGAGACUGAACAUUCACCUCAGUCAAUAAGAGACUGAACAUUCACCUCAGUCAAUAAGAGACUGAACAUUCACCUCAGUCAAUAAGAGACUGAACAUUCACCUCAGUCAAUAAGAGACUGAACAUUCACCUCAGUCAAUAAGAGACUGAACAUUCACCUCAGUCAAUAAGAGACUGAACAUUCACCUCAGUCAAUAGGAGACUGAACAUUCACCUCAGUCAAUAAGAGACUGAACAUUCACCUCAGUCAAUAAGAGACUGAACAUUCA